CCUACGGGAGGCAGCAGUGGGGAAUAUUGGACAAUGGGGGAAACCCUGAUCCAGCAAUGCCGCGUGUGUGAAGAAGGUCUUCGGAUUGUAAAGCACUUUUGGCAGGGACGAUGAUGACGGUACCUGCAGAAUAAGCCCCGGCUAACUUCGUGCCAGCAGCCGCGGUAAUACGAAGGGGGCUAGCGUUGCUCGGAAUGACUGGGCGUAAAGGGCGCGUAGGCGGCAUACACAGUCAGAAGUGAAAUUCCUGGGCUCAACCUGGGGACUGCUUUUGAUACGUGUGAGCUAGAGUGAAGAAGAGGGUUGUGGAAUUUCCAGUGUAGAGGUGAAAUUCGUAGAUAUUGGAAAGAACACCGGUGGCGAAGGCGGCAACCUGGUCUUUAACUGACGCUGAGGCGCGAAAGCGUGGGGAGCAAACAGGAUUAGAUACCCUGGUAGUCCACGCUGUAAACGAUGUGUGCUGGAUGUUGGGGAACUUAGUUUCUCAGUGUCGUAGCUAACGCGAUAAG
RNAcentral lists this ribosomal RNA (509 nucleotides) under uncultured bacterium. Its description in RNAcentral is "bacterial SSU rRNA". It matches the Rfam family "Bacterial small subunit ribosomal RNA", at positions 338 to 864 of the family's 1533-position model. The record is from RNAcentral.